RNAcentral lists this long non-coding RNA (400 nucleotides) under Junco hyemalis (dark-eyed junco). Its description in RNAcentral is "lncRNA (ENSJHYG00000010246.1)". The record is from RNAcentral. Lineage: Eukaryota; Metazoa; Chordata; Aves; Passeriformes; Passerellidae.
GAUAUUCCCUUUUUGAUCAGUGACACACUUUCCAAGAUGAACUCCUUAAAGCUUCCUUACUUUCUCCUCUGUGCCAGCAAAGAGGCAUAAUCUAAGAGGUCUUCCAGGCAUGCAGAGUGUGAUCUUCUUUGCUCAACAUCCUGACCAAACCACUUAAUAUAUUAAUCCUUAAGCUACGUGUAUGGAGCUUGCUUCCAAAUAUUUGCAAUGAACACACUACAUAAACUGGUUUUCAUGUGCUGAGGUAUUUUUGACUAGUCUCUGAGAUGACAGGUCUCUCUGGAAAUAUCAUAACUGUUGCUAAUUGGAAAUUGUAAGUUGUUUAUUUAGAUAGUAUUAAGAACCUGGGGUUUAGAUGUCUUAUCUGCUGUAACUUCUGCCCAAGCAUGACUAGAAAAGA